Molecule: non-coding RNA, 1231 nt
Organism: Musa acuminata subsp. malaccensis (wild Malaysian banana)
Lineage: Eukaryota; Viridiplantae; Streptophyta; Magnoliopsida; Zingiberales; Musaceae
Source: RefSeq, a predicted model, not a curated record
CGUUUCUUCUCCGUUCCGCUACUCACCGAUUUAUAUCUCUCGGCUCCUCCAUUCCUCCCCCUCCUCCUCCUCUCUAAUUCCAGUCAAUUCCCAAUCCUGGAGACUGAGCGGCACAAAAGGAAUGGCACGGUAAGUGGAUUCCAUCUCAGAUCUCCUCUUCUCCUCCUUGCAGCUACCGAGUGAUCUCUGGACGCAGCGGUUUAUCGAUCUCUUCCUGGCCUUGUUGGUCCCUCUUUCAUGGUGGAUUAGAUCGAUUGCUCCUUUCUGUUUGAGGUUACAAAGCGGGAAUCGGUCGAUAAACCUCUGCAUCCGGACUUCAGUGUACAUCCAUCCAUCAGACCUCUCGUUCCCUCACUUCGCUUUGGUUUUUCCCUUAAAUUUCUGAGAUAGAUGAUUGGGGACUAAGGAAGUAGUUCGAGUGAGCUGUUAGCGCUGUUUGAUGUGAUCCAUUUGAUGCAGAUCGUGAUUGAUUUUUGCAGAUAUGAUGAAGUGAAAGCCAAGCCAUGAGACUGAUUGUGGACCACUUCUACAGCAUUUUAUGUUGUACUACUUCAAUACUUGUUCGACUGUUCGAUGCAGUGGAUUGAUUUCUUAGCAGUGAUUACGGGUCCUCCCUGAAACAGUCAUUUGUUCUGUGACAUCAAUGCAGCAGACAUGUUAAAAGGGAAGAGACUCAGGGAUGAAAAAGGUGAUGCAUCCCAGACGCCAUUAAUGUUUGUCCUCAUCUAGCUUUAGCGGGUCUAUUAGACGUAAGUUAUCUGAAAGAAAUCUGAUCCGCUAUCAUCCCUUGUCAAGAAGGGUGAGAAGACCGUCAAACGUUUAUUGGAUAUUUAUUUAUCUCGGCCUAAUGCUGGGCUCAAACCCAACUCCUUUGUGAGCAGAACGACUCGGGCUCAAACAACCAACUACAGUCUGCUAAUGUGACGCUACAUGAGUUGGGCUAAAGCUUCGCACGUUGCGGAACAUAGCUAUGCCUUUGUGUCGUCUGGGGCCAACGGCGGAGGUUGCCGCGGGUGAGGAGCUUCCUGUCGUCUUGGGUGGUGAUGUCAGACAUGACGAUGACUCCGUGGAUUACACCACCACGAUAAAUUUGAUUUAAUCCCUUUCGCCCCUUUGAUGCUCUUUGAUUGAUUCCAGUGGCUUAUCUUAUGGUGGAGCAGUUUCCGAACAAGCUGGUAGAGUAUUGCCUCCGCAAGUAGCGGUCUCCACUUCACUGACUAGUGACUGCAUG